UACGUAGGGUACGAGCGUUAUCCGGAAUUAUUGGGCGUAAAGAGCUCGUAGGCGGUUUGUCGCGUCUGUCGUGAAAGUCCGGGGCUUAACCCCGGAUCUGCGGUGGGUACGGGCAGACUAGAGUGCAGUAGGGGGAGACUGGAAUUCCUGGUGUAGCGGUGGAAUGCGCAGAUAUCAGGAGGAACACCGAUGGCGAAGGCAGGUCUCUGGGCUGUAACUGACGCUGAGGAGCGAAAGCAUGGGGAGCGAACAGG
This 254-nucleotide ribosomal RNA is filed under the name uncultured bacterium. RNAcentral describes it as "partial 16S ribosomal RNA". It matches the Rfam family "Bacterial small subunit ribosomal RNA", at positions 524 to 776 of the family's 1533-position model. The record is from RNAcentral.